This is a long non-coding RNA of Arabidopsis lyrata subsp. lyrata, 814 nucleotides long. RefSeq lists it as uncharacterized. NCBI's taxonomy places the organism in Eukaryota, Viridiplantae, Streptophyta, Magnoliopsida, Brassicales, Brassicaceae. The record is from RefSeq and is a predicted model, not a curated record. The transcript has 3 exons.
UUUGUCUAAGUGUUUUAUAUCAUUCACUAACCUAAACUUCUUCUCUCGUCUAAAGAUACACCACCGCCGAACUCAUUCGUUCCCUUUCUCAUCACUUCUGUCCUCCAUCCUCCGCCGUUUAAGGUAAAGCUUCGCUGCAACACCCGACUUCCAGUCCUAGAACAACCGCCGGACCUCAUUUGUCUACUUUCUCGUCUCCUCCGUUCUCCAUCCUCCACCUCCUCCGCCAUCUAAGAUGACACAACAACAGACAAAGCUACGUCGGACAAACAUGAGAGCAGAAUCAUCUCAUCAACAGCCCGCUUUCAGCCACUCUUGCCCGAAAUCUUGACACAGAAAUGCGGCUAUCAAGCUUGGAGACUACUCUUGCAGCAGUUAAGGAUGAUAUGGCGAUGCUCAAGAAUGAUGUGAUGAUGCUCAAGGAUGACUUGCACAAGGUCGGCGAUUGGGCAGCGGCAAUGCAAGCUUCUCAAAAUGUGAUUCUAAGGAGUUUAGGUAUUGAUCCCCUAACUCACCAACCGAUCAGACCCACCACAACUCCUGUCACGGUUAGUCACUCAGUCCCGUGUCCGUCUCCUCUACAACCUCAUGACAAUAACGAAGAUUGAUAUGAUUAUGUUACUCAUGUCCAUGGCAACACAAAACUUAUGCUUCUGUGCUACAUCUCUUUAUUUUGGUGUGUUGUGUAUUAAGAACAUGACUGAUGUGUAUUUCAUUUUGUAUUUUGUUAUGUCGUUGACUAAGAACAUGACUUGUGUCUUUUUGUAAACCAAAAAUAUUUAGAUCAUAUGUAUGUUUGAUUAAAGUUUUAAUU